Molecule: ribosomal RNA, 493 nt
Filed under: uncultured bacterium
Lineage: Bacteria
Description: SSU rRNA
Rfam family: Bacterial small subunit ribosomal RNA
Source: RNAcentral
AGGACGAACGCUGGCGGCGUGCUUAACACAUGCAAGUGGAGCGACGAACCAGGGCUUGCCCUGGGGCAGAGCCGCGAACGGGUGAGUAACACGUGGGUUACCUGCCUCGAUGACCGGGACAACCCGAGGAAACUCGGGCUAAUACCGGAUGUGCCCGCAAGGGGAAAGGAAGCUUCGGCCUCCGCAUCGAGAUGGGCCCGCGGCCCAUUAGCUUGUUGGUGAGGUAACGGCUCACCAAGGCUUCGAUGGGUAGCUGGUCUGAGAGGACGAUCAGCCACACUGGGACUGAGACACGGCCCAGACUCCUACGGGAGGCAGCAGUGGGGAAUCUUGCGCAAUGCGCGAAAGCGUGACGCAGCAACGCCGCGUGGGGAAGAAGGCUUUCGGGUUGUAAACCCUUUCAGUUGGGACGAAGCUUCGCCGGUGAAUAGCCGGCCGGAGUGACGGUACCUUCACAAGAAGCACCGGCUAACUACGCGCCAGCAGCCGCGGU